RNAcentral lists this ribosomal RNA (751 nucleotides) under Trentepohliaceae sp. Kukwa 19732. RNAcentral describes it as "SSU rRNA". It matches the Rfam family "Eukaryotic small subunit ribosomal RNA", at positions 286 to 1046 of the family's 1831-position model. Lineage: Eukaryota; Viridiplantae; Chlorophyta; Ulvophyceae; Trentepohliales; Trentepohliaceae. The record is from RNAcentral.
GGCGAUGUUUCAUUCAAAUUUCUGCCCUAUCAACUUUCGACGGUAGGGUAGUGGCCUACCGUGGUGGUAACGGGUGACGGAGGAUUAGGGUUCGAUUCCGGAGAGGGAGCCUGAGAAACGGCUACCACAUCCAAGGAAGGCAGCAGGCGCGCAAAUUACCCAAAUCCCAACUCGGGGAGGUAGUGACAAGAAAUAACGAUGCUCCGGCCAUCGGUCGGGUAAUCGGAAUGAGGACAAUUUAAAUCCCUUAUCGAGGAUCAAUUGGAGGGCAAGUCUGGUGCCAGCAGCCGCGGUAAUUCCAGCUCCAAUAGCGUAUAUUUAAGUUGCUGCGGUUAAAAAGCUCGUAGUCGGAUUUCGGGUGGUGCCUACCGGUCCGCCCUUGGUGUGUACUGGUAGGCGCCACCUUUCUGCCGAGGACGGGUUCCUGGGCUUAGCUGUCUGGGGCCCGGAGUCGGCGAUGUCACUUUGAGUAAAUUAGGGUGUUUAAAGCAGGCUUAUGCUCUGUAUACACUAGCAUGGGAUGACACGAUAGGACUUCGGUCUAUCUUGUCGGUCUGUAGAUCGGAGUAAUGAUUAAGAGGGACAGUCGGGGGCAUUCGUAUUUCGUAGUCAGAGGUGAAAUUCUUGGAUUUACGGAAGACGAACUUCUGCGAAAGCAUUUGCCAAGGAUGUUUUCAUUGAUCAAGAACGAAAGUCGGGGGCUCGAAGACGAUUAGAUACCGUCGUAGUCUCGACCAUAAACGAUGCCAAC